AGAGUUUGAUCCUGGCUCAGAAUCAACGCUGGCGGCGUGCCUCAGACAUGCAAGUCGAACGAUUAAGACUCUCUUCGGAGAGUGUAUAGAGUGGCGCACGGGUGAGUAACACGUAGGUAAUUUGCCUUCGGGUGGGGAAUAACUUGGGGAAACCCAAGCUAAUACCGCAUAAUGCAGCGGCACCAAAUGGUGACAGUUGUUAAAGCUUUAUGUGCCUGAAGAGAAGCCUGCGGUGGAUUAGGUAGUUGGUAAGGUAAUGGCUUACCAAGCCUGCGAUCCAUAUCCGGUCUUAGAGGACGGUCGGACACACUGACACUGAAUAACGGGUCAGACUCCCACGGGAGGCAGCAGUCGGGAAUUUUGGGCAAUGGGCGAAAGCCUGACCCAGCAACGCCGCGUGAAGGAUGAAGUCCUUCGGGAUGUAAACUUCGGAAGAAUGGGAAGAAUAAAUGACGGUACCAUUUUUAAGCCCCGGCUAACUCCGUGCCAGCAGCCGCGGUAAUACGGAGGGGGCAAGCGUUGUUCGGAUUUACUGGGCGUAAAGGGCGCGUAGGCGGCGUGACAAGUCACUUGUGAAAUCUCCGGGCUUAACUCGGAACUGCCAAGUGAUACUGUCGUGCUAGAGUGCAGAAGGGGCAAUCGGAAUUCUUGGUGUAGCGGUGAAAUGCGUAGAUAUCAAGAGGAACACCAGAGGCGAAGGCGGAUUGCUGGGCUGACACUGACGCUGAGGCGCGAAAGCUAGGGUAGCAAACGGGAUUAGAUACCCUAGUAGUCC
Molecule: ribosomal RNA, 775 nt
Filed under: uncultured bacterium
Lineage: Bacteria
Description: bacterial SSU rRNA
Rfam family: Bacterial small subunit ribosomal RNA
Source: RNAcentral